GAUGAACGCUGGCGGCGUGCCUAAUACAUGCAAGUCGAGCGAACAGACGAGGAGCUUGCUCCUCUGACGUUAGCGGCGGACGGGUGAGUAACACGUGGAUAACCUACCUAUAAGACUGGGAUAACUUCGGGAAACCGGAGCUAAUACCGGAUAAUAUAUUGAACCGCAUGGUUCAAUAGUGAAAGACGGUUUUGCUGUAACUUAUAGAUGGAUCCGCGCCGCAUUAGCUAGUUGGUAAGGUAACGGCUUACCAAGGCGACGAUGCGUAGCCGACCUGGGAGCGUGAACAGCCAACCUAGAAGUGAGACACCGACCAGACACCGACGGGAGACAGCAGUAGGGAAUCUGCCGCAGUGGGCGAAAGCCUGACGUAGCAACCCCGCGUGAGUGAUAAGAAUCUUCGGGUCGUAAAACUCUGUUAUUAGGGAAGAACAAAUGUGUAAGUAACUAUGCACGUCUUGGCGGUACCUAAUCAGAAAGCCACGGCUAACUACGUG
RNAcentral lists this ribosomal RNA (497 nucleotides) under uncultured bacterium. RNAcentral's name for it is "partial 16S ribosomal RNA". It matches the Rfam family "Bacterial small subunit ribosomal RNA", at positions 28 to 507 of the family's 1533-position model. The record is from RNAcentral.